UUGAAGACGAGGUACGUAAAGUUUCAGAAAGACUGGCCCUUAUUUGGUGUCACGUUGAUGUGUGAUUCAUGGACUGGCCCGACGAGGAUGAGUGUCAUCAACUUUUUGAUAUAUUACAAUGGGGCCAUGUGGUUCCAUAAGUCUAUUGAUGCGAGUGGAAGAACUCAAGAUGCUGCAUAUUUGUUCAAGGAGAUUCGAAAGGUGGUGGAAGAGAUUGGACCGGAGAAUGCCGUGCACGUAGUCACCGACAACAGCUCAAACUACAA
Molecule: long non-coding RNA, 266 nt
Organism: Panicum virgatum (switchgrass)
Lineage: Eukaryota; Viridiplantae; Streptophyta; Magnoliopsida; Poales; Poaceae
Exons: 2
Source: RefSeq, a predicted model, not a curated record